ACUUACACACGGCCUAAUCUCGGUCCCUGCGCGGGACCGAGAACGGAGGAACCAAUCAAUUGGGGUUAAUCUUGCGCUUUGGCGCGAGAGGGAUGAGGAACUGACUUCUCUGCCAUCCUACCCGUCAGCUAACUUCGUCGGCUUAUGCAGGGAAGGUCA
Molecule: small RNA, 159 nt
Filed under: Tumebacillus algifaecis
Lineage: Bacteria; Bacillati; Bacillota; Bacilli; Caryophanales; Alicyclobacillaceae
Description: c-di-AMP sequence
Rfam family: c-di-AMP riboswitch aptamer (ydaO/yuaA leader)
About the family: This family represents a conserved RNA structure found upstream of the ydaO and yuaA genes in Bacillus subtilis and related genes in other bacteria. The ydaO/yuaA element is thought to act as a genetic "off" switch for the ydaO and yuaA genes in its native state. It is believed that the element may be triggered during osmotic shock leading to activation of ydaO, a predicted amino acid transporter gene, and members of the yuaA-yubG operon which code for KtrA and KtrB K+ transporters.
Source: Rfam by way of RNAcentral